This 253-nucleotide ribosomal RNA is filed under the name uncultured bacterium. RNAcentral describes it as "partial 16S ribosomal RNA". It matches the Rfam family "Bacterial small subunit ribosomal RNA", at positions 524 to 776 of the family's 1533-position model. The record is from RNAcentral.
UACGUAGGGUGCGAGCGUUAAUCGGAAUUACUGGGCGUAAAGCGUGCGCAGGCGGUUCGUUAAGUUCGAUGUGAAAGCCCCGGGCUCAACCUGGGAACUGCAUUGGAAACUGGCGAGCUUGAAUGCGGCAGAGGGGGGUGGAAUUCCGCGUGUAGCAGUGAAAUGCGUAGAUAUAAGGAGGAACACCGAUGGCGUAGGCAGGUGACUGGCUCAUUCCUGACGCUCAGGCACGAAAGCGUGGGGAGCAAACGGG